This 1563-nucleotide long non-coding RNA is filed under the name Suricata suricatta (meerkat). RNAcentral describes it as "lncRNA (ENSSSUG00005021176.1)". The record is from RNAcentral. Lineage: Eukaryota; Metazoa; Chordata; Mammalia; Carnivora; Herpestidae.
AUUAAGAAAAGAAAAGCUGGAGCUUAAAGGAGCUAAGUACCCUACCAAGAUGGCAUGCACAAACUACCGACUGCCAGGGUUUGGGUAUGAGAGCAGACAUGCCAGACUCCAAGUCUUAACUACUAUACUCUACAACCUCCCAUUGCAUACCUUUCUUCCAACUCUCUAGGUCCCAGACCUAACUUUGGUAAACAUUUAGCAGUUAACCGUUCUGAUACAUUUGACAUCAUCACCAAGCACCCAAAGCCAGGGACUCCCACUCGGCCUUGGUUAGACCGCAACCCAGAGCUCCAAUUUGGGUUUUGAAGGCCAUGGCUUCAAAUGUAGACCUGAAGGCAGCUAGGAGGUAAGCAUGUUCUGCAAUCUGCAUCUUACCUUGUCUUGUUUUGUUUUGUUUUGUUUUGUUUUGUUUUGUUUUUUAGCCACAACAUUUUAUGCAAUUGCUCAUUGGCCCAGAAGCUACUGGAGUGCUCAGAGGCGGAGAAUCACCCAUAGACGACUGUUGGGCAAAACUGUCUCUGUUUUAGGUUGGCGUGGAUCACCGUGGCUUCAGCUCAACUAGGGCAGAGGAGCAUUUAAAAUACCCAGCAGGGUGGGGCGAGGUAGCAAAACGUUUAUAGCCCAUACCCAUUAAGGCAGUCCCUGAAAAGGGAGCUUACAAAAUGCCUUGUUGGGCAUGGUCCUCCCUUCUUUCUCCAAAACCCCAACCAAGAAGAGGCUGGAAAAAUUAAGAGAAUCUUGUGCAGGAGAAGCCCCUCUUUGCCCACUUUGCUACUUUCCUAUGUUGGACACUGUCUCUGAGAACGUGAUGCCUGGCAAUGAAGCAGCCAUCUUGGGACCAAGAGACAGAUUUGAAGACCUAAAGUCCUUAAAGUGUAUGCCAAGGAUGUUAGAAGGACUAGAAGGAUGGAAAGAGUCUGGAGACUUAAGAAAAUAACCGGAGAGCUAAACCAAUCACGGGACCACUUGCUUCCAAAUUCCUUAUUAGGGCAACCAUAACUGCCCUUACUCUUGGUCCGCAUUAGACUGGGUUUCUGUUACUUGCAGCUGAAAGCAUUCUAAUUGAUCCAUGUCACUCUCAUUAAAAUUAGGAGUAGCCGUGUCUCCCUUCUUCUUCUAGGAGGGAGAAUUACGGUAAAAUGGAAAGCUUUGGAGCCAAAGGCACCCCAUCAGUCAGAAUUCUGGCUGAGAAACCCUGAGCAAGUUUCUUAACUGCAGAGUGUCAGUAUUAUUAACUGGAAAACAUAGAUAACAAUAAGACCUCAUAAGCUCAUUAUUAUAAAAAAUACAAUAAACACAAACAAAAGAUGGUGAAAAUUUCACAUAUCAGAGCCUAGCAUGCAGGAGGUGCUCAAUAAAUGUCAACUGCCUUACUUGCUUUCCCUCCACAUGUCCUCUGUGCGGGGCAGAAUGUUCAGAAUGUUGAGUUUUGGGGGAAUAGGGAAUGCCUCUAUUGAAGGUCAGGAAAGAAUGAUUUUUCUUCAUCUUUCUUAUUUGGAGACAAGAGCAGAGAUAGGGACAGCAGUCUGUGGGAGGCUGCAGCUUAAAGAACAGCUUCUGACC